CACUGCAAAGCCACUUAACAGCUAAACCUGCCUUCACGUGCAGCUAGAAAACGAGUGAAGUUAUAAGAGUAUUCCGUGGUGUACAAUAUCAUAGCAGAAAUCAAUUUUGAGGCCAUUGCUUGUAGAGGACACAGAUGAAACCUUUUGACGCACAAGACUAACUCCAGAAACAAAAAAGUUACUCGCUCUGUUUCAAAAACAUUAGCACUAUUUCCUUAUUAGUCCAUAUCAAAAAGAUCGACACCUUUCAAUAUCUCCUUAAUAGGAAGCAUUUAUAGGAUUUGUGUAUCCAUAGAUGAUUUAUGGUAGUUACUAUUUGAUAUUAUUGCAUGCCUUUUUAUUUAUGGUUUUUAUGUUUAGAUAAUUAGACAAGAGGGGUUGCUCUGAUGGUAAGCAACCCCCACUUCCAACCGAGAGGUUGUCAGAAAAUGAGGCGCUUGAAAUUUUAUGACAAGAGGGGUUGCUCUGAUGGUAAGCAGCCCUCACUUCCAACCGAGAGGUUGUGAGUUCGAGUCUCCCCAAGAGCAAGGUGGGAAGUUCUUGGAGGGAAGGAUGCCGGGGGUCUAUUUGGAAACAACCUCUCUACCCAAGGGUAGGGGUAAGGUAUGCGCACAUACUACCCUCCCCAGACCCCACUACGUAGGAUCAUACUGGGUUGUUGUUGUUGUUGUUGUAUGUUUAGAUAAUUAUUUACGCGAUUUUUGCUGGAGUUACUAAUGCUCUUUUGCUUUUGUUUUUGUUUUUGUUUUUGUUUUACUUCCCUGAGCCGAGGGUCGAUUGGAAACAGCCCUUUCGGGUAGGGGUAAGGCCUGUCUACAUAUUACCCUCCUCAAACCCCAAUUUGAGGGACUAUACUGGGUAGUUGUUGUUGUUGUAUUAGGAAGCAUUUAUAGGCAGACAAAUGCUAUGGCAGGUUUGAGACCACAAGUUUCAACAGUUUUACG
This 944-nucleotide long non-coding RNA is filed under the name Nicotiana benthamiana. Its description in RNAcentral is "long non-coding RNA (NBEN_LNC038684)". Lineage: Eukaryota; Viridiplantae; Streptophyta; Magnoliopsida; Solanales; Solanaceae. The record is from RNAcentral.